RNAcentral lists this ribosomal RNA (1274 nucleotides) under Leptidea morsei morseides. RNAcentral's name for it is "partial 16S ribosomal RNA". The stretch from base 1084 to 1242 matches the Rfam family "Archaeal large subunit ribosomal RNA", at positions 2544 to 2703 of the family's 2987-position model. Lineage: Eukaryota; Metazoa; Arthropoda; Insecta; Lepidoptera; Pieridae. The record is from RNAcentral.
GGGGGGAAAAUUAAUAAAUAUAGUAUAAAAAAAGAAAUUUUAAAAUAAAAUACUGAAUGGGGGUUUAAGUAUUUUUAUGGAAAAAAUUUUUAAUUUUAUAGAAAAUUAGUAUUGUAAAAGAAUUUUGAAAAAUAAUUAAAAUAAAUUUAAUAAAAAGUAAAUUUAAUUUAUUGUAUCUUGGGUAUCAGAGUUUAUUAAAAAUAAAUUAUAUUAAUAAUAAUCUCGAAUUUAAAAGAGUUAAUUAAUUAUUUAAAUUAGUGUUUUAAAAUUAUUUAAAAUAAUUAAUUAGAAAUGAAAUGUUAAUCGUUUUUAAAUAUAUCUAGUUUUUUUAGAAAAAAAUUUAAUUUUAAAUAUUAUUAAUUUUAAUUUUUAUUAAUAAAAAUUAAAAAAAAAUAAAUAUUUUAUAUUUUAAGGGAUAAGCUUUAAAUUAAAUUUUUAUAAUUAAUUUUAUUUUAAUUAAAAAAAUUUUUAAAAUUUACAUUUUUUAUAAAUUAUAAUUUUUUAUAAAUAAUUUUAUUAAAAUUAAAAUUUAAAAUUUAAAUUUAAAUAUUUAUAAAAAAAUAAUUUUUAAUAAAAAUAAAUUAGGUAUAAUGAUAAAAUUAGUAUAAAAUUUUAUAAAUGAGAAAAAUAAAAUUUAUAAAAUUUAAAUAAAGGAAUUCGGCAAAAAAAAAUAUUCACCUGUUUAACAAAAACAUGUCUUUUUGAAAAUAAUUUAAAGUCUAAUCUGCCCACUGAAAUAAAUUUAAAGGGCUGCAGUAUAUUGACUGUACAAAGGUAGCAUAAUCAUUAGUCUUUUAAUUGAAGACUUGUAUAAAUGAUUGGAUGAAAUAUAAUCUGUCUCUAUUUAAAAAAUGAAAUUUAAUUUUUUAGUUAAAAAGCUAAAUUAAAAUUAAAAGACGAGAAGACCCUAUAGAGUUUAAUAUUUUAAAAAUUAUUAUUAAAAUAAAGAAAAAUUAACACUAAAAUUUUUAAAAUAUUUUAUUGGGGUGAUAGAAAAAUGAAAUAAACUUUUUUUAAAUAAUAAACAUAAAUAAAUGAAAUUAUGAUCCAUAAUUUAUGAUUAUAAGAAAAAAUUACCUUAGGGAUAACAGCGUAAUUUUUUUUUUUAGUUCAAAUAAGAAAAAAAGUUUGCGACCUCGAUGUUGGAUUAAGAUAAAAUUUAAAUGCAAAAGUUUAAAAUUUUGAUCUGUUCGAUCAUUAAAAUCUUACAUGAUCUGAGUUCAAACCGGUGUGAGCCAGGUUGGUUUCUAUCUUUAGUAAAAUAAAAUAUUUUA